This 90-nucleotide transfer RNA is filed under the name Rhodospirillaceae bacterium. RNAcentral describes it as "tRNA-Ser". It matches the Rfam family "tRNA". From Rfam's summary of the family: Transfer RNA (tRNA) molecules are approximately 80 nucleotides in length. Their secondary structure includes four short double-helical elements and three loops (D, anti-codon, and T loops). The record is from RNAcentral. Lineage: Bacteria; Pseudomonadati; Pseudomonadota; Alphaproteobacteria; Rhodospirillales; Rhodospirillaceae.
GGAGAGGUGGCCGAGUGGCUUAAGGCGCACGCUUGGAAAGCGUGUGUACGUUAACCCGUACCGGGGGUUCGAAUCCCCCUCUCUCCGCCA